Molecule: microRNA precursor, 135 nt
Filed under: Chlorocebus sabaeus (green monkey)
Lineage: Eukaryota; Metazoa; Chordata; Mammalia; Primates; Cercopithecidae
Description: miRNA (ENSCSAG00000025499.1)
Source: RNAcentral
GUAGAUGAAACAGCCUUCUACUGGAAGAAGACACUGUCUAGGACUUUCAUGGCUAGAGAGAAGUCAAUGCCUAACUCCAAAUCUUCAAACGAUAGGCUGACUCUCCUGUUAGGGGAUAAUGCAGUUAAUGACUGU